RNAcentral lists this long non-coding RNA (2415 nucleotides) under Helianthus annuus (common sunflower). RNAcentral's name for it is "hypothetical non coding rna". Lineage: Eukaryota; Viridiplantae; Streptophyta; Magnoliopsida; Asterales; Asteraceae. The record is from RNAcentral.
GAACCCUGUUGUUUGCGUUUUCUUUAGAUAAAACAAUAAUUGCGGGUUUAGAGUUUCUCAAUUGCAUACAUCGGCUGUUUCAGAUGUCUUGGAGUAUUUAGGGUUUUUCAAUCAACUUGAUGUCGUCGAGAAUCACCAGAAUUUUCAGGGUUUUGUGAGAAUUGCGAGUUUAAGGUUUUCCAAUCAUGGAAUUUGACGAUCAUCUGACGUGUUCUUGGUCUGCCGUAGAAUUAAUUAACAGCAGGUUGUUAUUGUAGCAUGCUUCUGAAGCAGAAACAAGUCAUCGAAUGCCCUUCCAUAUGAUACAUCUGGUCAAACCUUAUGGCAUUUGAGAAACCAUAAGGAGCCCCACCUCAGCUGUUGGCAGAUUUUCUAACGCCUUGAAGUUUAUCGUCGAAGAGUCCUCAGCCCCCUGGAGCUUAACGGAAACUGAAACAGAUUAUGCAAUAAUGCUAUGACGCACAUAUUCGACAAACUUGUCUCGAAGUACAGUACUGGGGCAGUUACUGACUUACUGGAUAUGUCAUAUAGUUGUCAUAGAUGCUUUUAAAGCGGAAGAAUUUGCUGAGGUGGCAACGAAGCCUCUGAAAGCCCUUCCAUAUGACACACCUGGUUGAAGUUUAUGGCAUUUGAGUACCCCAUAAGGGGUCCCAGCUCAUCUGUUGGCAGAUUUUUGACAUGUUGAAGUUUAUCGUCAAAGAGGCAACUUUAUCGAAUUAAACAAACUGGCCCGUUUCGAGAGGGGCUAAGUCUCUGGAUACACUCGCCACGUAGGAACCGGGUCUGUUUCUCGCUAUCAGAGAUGCGAAGUGGGGGUUUAGAGUAAGCAUUCUGCUGGUUUGUGCCGGAAGUCAGAGGUUUGGAAUCUGUUUGGGGGGGGGGGUGUAGGGUGAGGGGACCAGGUUGAAGACUUGCCAGGUCGGGUGUGGUUAGCUUUAGACUCGUACUCUAGCGCAAUACUCACUGCCCUAUACACUGAUCGGGGCUUUUGAAGCCGGACAUCUGCCUUUAGUUCUUCUUUGAGACCAUUCAGAAAAACGCCCAACAAGCAGUGGUCUGGCCAAUUAGUUACCCGAGAGGACCUCUUGGCGAAUUCUUGUCGAUACGCUUGGAUGGUCCCGGUCUGUUUGAUGCUAUAGAGGUGCUCAUCAGGGUUUUGAAAUUCGGUAGGACCAAAGUUUUUGUGGAGAGCAUGAACUAAAUCCUCCCGGAAAUUGAUUUCCUGAUCUGUGGACAACCAGGAAUACAGAUCCAACGCAUCACCUUCUAGAUGUAAAGAGGCAACAUCUACCUUUUCUUCUUCAGGUAUAUUAUAGCAGCUGAAAUAUUUUUCGGCCUUGAGCACCCAACCUCGAGGAUCUCCGUCACUGAAAGUAGGAAAAUCAAUUUUGUUGUAUGGUCUGUUGUGUCGGUUUGAAUUUCUAGAAGGCUCCCCAUCGUCAUACCUUCCAUAUCCUCCAUUCGGUUUCUCCACAUGGGUCUUGAGGGCUGCCAAUUCAUCUCGCAUAGCAUCCACGGUUUCAAGUUUCUUAACAAUAACUGCUAAUUGGGAUGCUAAUGAAUCGGGUGGGUUAGAACCACUCUCUUCUGGACUGCUCCGGGUCUGAACCAUUUUGUCUCUAUUCGAUUCCCGGCAAUGGAACCAAUGAUAGAAACAACAAAAUUAAGCAGGCAACUUUAUCGAAUUAAACAAACUGGCCCGUUUCGAGAGGGGCUAAGUCUCUAGAUACAAAUGAAACUGAUAACAAAAACAAGAACAAGAAAAACUCAUGAAAAAUGUAGCCUGCUAAUAAAACAAGAACUGAAAUUAACUGCUCCUAAAACUCAGCUUAUAAACUGCCUUGAACUGUUCCAUAACUCCCAUCCUGUGCUGACCCAGUGGUAUAAACCUGGAUCCUUGAACCGCCCUUUCCUUCUGGUAUAAACCUGGAUCGGGAUCCUAUCAUAUACAUCUUAACAUUAGUUAUUUUAGUAAAAUCAUAAAUUUUUGUAUGCUUAUAUAUAUCUACAAGAAAUCCAAUAAUAUCACCCCAUCUGAAAAUUUUACCUUACAUAACUCUUAGAGCAAAGCUUAGACCACAUCUUGUGUGGUGGACACUUACCUUGUAUUCUCACUGUAUCGUUGUUUGCUACAAACAGGAUCCAGGCUACCAUCUUCUCAAAUGAUUAUUUGACCUGUUAUAGGGACUUGAAUCCUUUGCAUGAUGAAAGAUAAUAUAACACCUCACCUUUUUUUAAUGGUUAUUUCUCAAAAUACCCUACACAUGCUUCUCAUGUGAUAGGAUUUAACUAUAAGUUGGAUGGAGUUAGUGUGGUGGACCAAAACCGCAAUAACAAAGAAACCUCAGCAUGAAAAAUUUGGAUUUUGUAAAAUAUAGCAAUAACCACUAAACCACAAGGACCAAAACCGCAAUU